This is a long non-coding RNA of Bombus terrestris (buff-tailed bumblebee), 2440 nucleotides long. RefSeq lists it as uncharacterized. NCBI's taxonomy places the organism in Eukaryota, Metazoa, Arthropoda, Insecta, Hymenoptera, Apidae. The transcript has 2 exons. The record is from RefSeq and is a predicted model, not a curated record.
CGAUAUGCUUUAAAAAUGCAAAGACGUUAAAUUAAAUUUUAUAAAUCUAGAAAAUUAUAAAUUCGGAAAUUCCAGCGGUUAUAAUUACAAAUUUUUGUUAAAUAAACGAAUUUUUAUAUGUAAUCUGUUAAACAUAGACGAAUCACUAUUGAAUCAUUAUUAAAAUUAUAAUUCCAAUUUCCGUUUCUUACGAAUAUAAAAUUAGAAAAAAUUUUUAAAAUACAUAUAUGUAUAGAAAAGUAUUCCUGUAAUUAGAAUAAGUAAAAUUUAUACCAUGGCGCGCCGCGAUCUAUCGCGCAUGCGUACGCGCAACACAUGCAAGAUAGAAGUGACGAUAGCUGGAAGUGAUUCUGUGAGACAAAGAUACAAACAGCUUAUAAGAUAUAGAUAACUACAGGUUAUCAAUGUUACUGUUACUCAUCGCCAUUUGUAUAUAACUAUCGCGACAUUCCGACAUAAUCAUUGCUUUCCAGAAAGGACACAGUCUUUGAAAGGAAUUUCUCUUGAUAUUUGGAUAAACAACUACAUGACUUGUUACAUAGAAGAAAGAUCUCAUGAGGCGAGAGCAAAGCAUUUCCGGAAAUGCACGUCGCUAUAGUAGUUGGUCAAGGCCAUCGACUCAUUGAACAUCCUUCCAUGGCAAGGUACAAAGAGGAAUGUGGAACGGCAACCUGUCGAUCUACACAUAGGCGUAUAAACCGUAUUUUUUAUUCUUCACAUGUUAAUACGUUAUGGUCAUUCUAAAAUUUUAUAGUUACGCUUAUCGUAUUUAAGCAAAUGAUUACAUAUGAAAUACUUGUCCUCUUCGAAUUUUGGUUAAGUUCAACUUAUACCGAAGUUUAACGAUAAAAUAGAUUGGGAAAUGAAUUUUUUUUAAUUUCAAGAUUCGGAAUCUAUCUCACAACGUUAUAUAUUUGGAAAAAUCGUAGAUAUGAAAAGAUUAAAGCGCAAAAUUUUUAGCAUGUUUCGUCGAAAUUUAAAUAAUCGUGUUUACGACAUUGGUGAACGAAUGUAUCAAGUUUACCGCUUGGAGCGCUGCAGGUCAUUGAUUCGUGACUCCAUAAUAGUUCUUGAUGUUGUUUUAAAAAACGUCAACAAUGACCUAAUACUAUAUGAGCUCUAGAAAGUUUAACUGGUAAUGUAGGAAAUCCGUAUACCGCGUCAUGCUGCUCUCACAUACUUAACCUUCAUGACACAAUGAAACUGAAUUGCAUGGAUUUUCUAUUGGGAUCACAAGCGAUAUAUGUAUAAUUUAACAAACUUAAAGAAUUUACGAUCAGUUUAAAAAUCAUCUACUAUUACUAUCAUUCAUAUUUUGUAUUUUAAAGAUUAAUUGUGUGCAACCAUCCCAAUAUUGUAUUCGUUUGCCUUCUUUUUUUUGUUUUAAAAAAAUAUAAUCAUAAAUAAAAUUACCAAAUUAUUUUCUCCAAUAUUGUAAUUCAAAUAAAGAUAUAAUAUAUAACUUACCAGCAAAAAUAAGAUACAACUAAAUAACGAACGUUCUCGAGUCUUCUAGUAUAACGAUGACGCCUUCUGCAGAAAGUAGAUGCGUAGUAGAAUUUGCUAAUAAGAGCGGAAGGUAUUACAUAGAAAACAAUUUGGACACUUGGUAGGAUAGAUGACAUUUAUUCCAUUAUUUUAUUGUUAUUACUUACUACUUGAAUGCUAUACUCGUAAUAGAUAUCUAUAAUUAUGUCUAUAAUUAUGCGUGAAUUUAAAGAAUACGUGAGGUCAGCCGCAAGAUGUACAGCUCGUGUCAGUUACAAUUGUCAUAGUUAUAUAGGUAAAUAAUUAUAGAAAGAAAUUUACGUUUUUAAUUCUGAAUGCAAACGUUCGUUAACGGGGUUGGGAACGAUGGCAGCUCAUUGAUUUCUGUUAAUCUCUAGUUUUUCGCUAUCGAUCGAUUUCAUAAUUUACACACACUUCGAUUCUUUUUAUCGCGGCUAAGAUAUUCUUUUGUCCUAUUAUUUUCCUCUUUUUUUUCGUUUUAAUGCGUUUUUAAAAAUUACUCAAUCACUGUUUUCCUGCCAACCUAACACCCUUACUUAUUAUAAAUUCCUAAUUAUCUUACGAAAUCGUAACGCGCAAUAAUAGUACACGAGAUAUCAUUUCUUUUUUUUCCCUCUUACUUCUUCUCUAAUCACGGCGAGUUCAACUCUCGUUUUAAACAAUAUACAAAUAUCUUUUCUUAUAUAUAUCCUCUCGAUAUAUCGAUUAAACUCGUGAUCUUUUACAACUUAUUCUGCGCUAAAAACGAUCAAAUACAAACUAUAUACUUCUUUCGUCUGAAAAUUUUUGGUCUACGUUUAACGCAACACAUCCCUCUAAACAUUUUUUACAUUAAAAUUUUGUUCAUAAUACUUAUCUAUUUCAUAAAAGAAGGAAAAUUGUUUGCUAUUUCGCUGGAACGAAUCGCUAAUGGACGACGAACGAAAUAACA